RNAcentral lists this ribosomal RNA (232 nucleotides) under uncultured bacterium. RNAcentral describes it as "partial 16S ribosomal RNA". It matches the Rfam family "Bacterial small subunit ribosomal RNA", at positions 89 to 334 of the family's 1533-position model. The record is from RNAcentral.
CCGUUAGUGGCGGACGGUGGAGUAACGCGUAGGGAUUUAUCGUUGGGUGGGGGAGUAACCCUGGGAAACUGGGGCUAAUACCGCAUGACGCCUGUGGGCCAAAGUUGUAAUGGCGCCUGACGAGAAGCCUGCGUCCGAUUAGCUAGUUGGUUGGGUAAAGGCUGACCAAGGCAUCGAUCGGUAGCUGGUCUGAGAGGAUGAUCAGCCACACUGGGACUGAGACACGGCCCAG